CUGGCUCAGGAUGAACGCUAGCGGCAGGCUUAACACAUGCAAGUCGAGGGGCAGCGCGAGGUAGCAAUACUUGGCGGCGACCGGCGGAAGGGUGCGUAACGCGUGAGCAACAUGCCCGUAUGAGGGGGAUAGUCAUUGGAAACGAUGCGUAAUACCCGUAACAACAGAGGCGGCAUCGCCUUUGUUUGAAAGAUUUAUCGCAUACGGAUUGGCUCGCGUGGCAUUAGCUAGUUGGCGGGUAACGGCCACCAAGGCGACGAUGUCUAGGGGAACUGAGAGGUUGGUCCCCCACACUGGAACUGAGACACGGUCCAGACUCCUACGGGAGGCAGCAGUGAGGAAUAUUGGUCAAUGGGCGGAAGCCUGAACCAGCCAUGCCGCGUGAAGGAUUAAGGCCCUAUGGGUCGUAAACUUCUUUUGACGGGGAGCAAUAAGGGCGUCGCGCACGUCCGAUGAGAGUACUCGUCGAAUAAGCAUCGGCUAACUCCGUGCCAGCCGCGGC
Molecule: ribosomal RNA, 502 nt
Filed under: uncultured bacterium
Lineage: Bacteria
Description: bacterial SSU rRNA
Rfam family: Bacterial small subunit ribosomal RNA
Source: RNAcentral